RNAcentral lists this antisense RNA (140 nucleotides) under Helicobacter mustelae 12198. Its description in RNAcentral is "Bacterial antisense RNA HPnc0260". It matches the Rfam family "Bacterial antisense RNA HPnc0260". Lineage: Bacteria; Pseudomonadati; Campylobacterota; Epsilonproteobacteria; Campylobacterales; Helicobacteraceae. The record is from Rfam by way of RNAcentral.
AGUUGAAAAAGAGGGGAUUUCAAAAAUUUUGAAAAAGUAUUUGGAAGAUUCCAAGCAUCCAGAGAUUGUGAAAAAUUUAGAAAAAAUAGAGAAAAAAAAGAUGGUGAUCACGACUGGACUUGAACCAGCGACCACUACCA